This 4785-nucleotide small RNA is filed under the name Arabidopsis thaliana (thale cress). RNAcentral's name for it is "ATSL158520". The stretch from base 3947 to 4167 matches the Rfam family "MIR854 microRNA precursor family". The record is from RNAcentral. Lineage: Eukaryota; Viridiplantae; Streptophyta; Magnoliopsida; Brassicales; Brassicaceae.
GUAUAUUGAUUAUAGAAAGCUAAAUGCUGCAUCUAGGAAAAAUCAUUUUCCUUUACCAUUCAUUGAUCAAAUGCUUGAACGGUUAGCUAAUCACCCAUACUAUUGCUUUCUUGAUGGAUAUAGUGGUUUCUUUUAAAUACCGAUUCACCCUAAUGAUCAAGAGAAAACUACUUUCACAUGUUCUUAUGGAACUUUUGCUUAUAAGAGAAUGCCAUUUGGUUUAUGCAAUGCUCCUGCAACAUUUCAGAGGUGUAUGACCUCUAUAUUUUAAGAUUUAAUCGAGGAGAUGGUGGAGGUCUUCAUGGACGAUUUUUCGGUCUAUGGCCCCUCUUUCUCCUCUUGUUUGUUGAAUCUUGGCAGGGUAUUGACCAGGUGCGAAGAGACGAAUCUUGUUCUCAAUUGGGAAAAGUGUCAUUUCAUGGUGAAGGAAGGCAUAAUGUUGGGCCACAAGAUAUCAGAGAAGGGUAUAGAGGUUGACAAAGGAAAAAUUGAAGUGAUGAUGCAGUUGCAGCCACCAAAAACGGUGAAGGACAUCAGAAGUUUCCUUGGUAAUGCUGGGUUCUGCAAGGGGGCUUUUGGUGGCCAAUAAUGUAUAAGGACGCUCAGAAGUUCGUUUCAAAAUGUGAUUCAUGGCAGAGAAAGGGAAACAUCAGCAAAAGAAAUGAGAUGCCUCAAAACCCACUCUUGGAAGUGGAGAUCUUUGACGUAUGGGAAUUGAUUUUAUGGGUCCAUUCCCAUCUUCAUACGGUAACAAGUAUAUACUGGUCGUCGUAGCUAUUGCUAGUCCUACCAACAAUGCAAAAGUUGUGCUGAAGCUGUUCAAGACCAUAAUCUUCUGGAGAUUUGGAGUUCCUAGGGUAGUAAUCAGUGAUGGUAGGAAGCAUUUCAUCAACAAAGUCUUUGAGAACCUCCUGAAGAAGCAUGGAGUAAAGCACAAAGUCGCCACCCCUUAUCAUCCACAGACAAGCGGGCAGGUUGAGAUCUCUAACAGGGAGAUAAAAACAAUUCUGGAAAAAACUGUUGGAAUUACAAGGAAAGACUGGUCUGCAAAGCUUGAUGAUGCACUGUGGGCUUACAGGACAACUUUCAAGACACCCAUUGGUACAACUCCUUUUAAUCUCCUCUAUGGAGAAUCAUGUCACCUACCUGUUGAGCUCGAGUACAAAGCUAUAUGGGCGGUAAAACUCCUGAACUUUGACAUAAAAACCGCUGAGGAAAAGCGGUUGAUCCAACUCAGUGACCUUGAUGAAAUCCGUUUAGAAGCUUAUGAGGGCUCUAAAAUCUACAAGGAGAGAAUUAAGCUUUUCCAUGACAAGAAGAUCAUCACUAAGGAUUUUCAGGUCUUUCCAGGAAAGCUUAAAUCCAGAUGGUCUGGCCCCUUCUUUGUCAUUGAGGUCCGUCCUUAUGGAGCAGUCACUCUACCUGGUAAGAGUGGAGAUUUCACAGUAAACGGUUAAAGGCUCAAGAAGUACUUAGCAGAUCAAAUCCUUCCAGAGGUGACGUCGGUUCACCUCAAGGAACUUCUUGAUGAUUAAAGGAGUAAAGGAGUCAAGCUAUUGACUUUAAACAAACUCACUUGGGGGGAAAUUCUAUGACUAUCUCUGUAAAUAAACUUUUAUUUUCUUGUUAUUUUUGAUUUGUUUUAGUUGUGUUUUUGGUUUUCAGGAACAAAGGAACGAUGUGGAGAUAGAGUAAAAAUUCAAAACUUUUACUCUACAGAAGACCAGGAAAUCGAGUGUAUAGCAUGGUGGAGUGCAAAAUUUUGAAAUUUUUUUGUUGCAUCUGGAGACCCUGAAUUCGAGUACAUAAGUCGAGUAUAUGUGAUGUUUAAAACCCAAAAAAAUUUAAAUCAUCAUUAUACUCGACCAACAGGAGCUACAAAGACUUGCAGGGAUUUUGUCAAGUUUACAGUAGAUUUCCUUCUGUUUUCCCAGUCAACAGAGUGUGGACCACACGCUGAAGAUAAGAUGGAGAGAGAAUCUCAAACUCAAUUUCCACCACUCCUUUUGAAAUUUUACUCGACCAACCUCUAUUCAAUUUUCCAUCACUCGACCGCAAGAAACAAUUCUCUGAAACCUAAGCCGCACUCGACCUCGCUGAAACCAAUCGACCGUCGUUGGAGAGAAUUACUCAGCCGCCGCAGUCGAGUUCCAAGUUUCACUCGACCACCGGUUUUGUUUCACCGUGAAUCACUCGACUGCUACGCCACCGACACUCCAAUUUUUCUACUUCACCACAAAUCGCCGCCUCUCACUCGACCACUUCACUUCACCGUCAAAGUCUCGGGAACUACUCGGUAACAACUACAGUACUCGACCGUCGACUUGUGGUUUCGUCCUUGCCAAUUCCGGCUCACCGAAGAAGUACUCGACCUCUGGAGCCAACCACUCGACCGACCCUUCACGUUUCAAGAUUCCAGGCUUCAAUUCCGGUUCACUGAGGUAUCACUCGAUCGCUGGUGCUAGGAAAUCAGCAGAUCCACUCGACUUCAGAAAAGUUACUCAACCGCGGUCUCUACUCUACUCGAUCCAAUUCGUGUAAGAGGAACUCGAGAACAGCUCAGUUUACUCGAGUACUAGAUUGUACUCGACCAAUUUGGUCAAUUUCAUUGCCUGUUGAUAACAAUUUUGGUUUCAUUGUUAUCUUUGAGACUAACCUAUUGACAUUUGAGUUUUGAGUUCUAAAUCUUCUUGCAGGAGAAUCAUGAGUAAUUACAGUGGCAGUUCUUCGGUUGAUCCUGACUAUAACAUGGAUGAGACAGAACGAGAACAGAGAGAAUACGAUAGCUUCAGAAGAAAAGCUGAGAUAGCUCGAGGGAAGAGAGCAAUGACAGGGAGGUAUGAGCUUAUAGAUGUGGAUCUAGAAGACGAGUACAUGCCUGAGCAUACUCGCAAAGCCACCAAACUUCUGCACAAACCUAAUGUAUUGCCUGCUGAGGAGUAUAUCAGGCUCUUCAAACUGAAUGAGUUCUGUAGCACAGGGUAUCCAUGCUCGACCACACUUGCUCAAUUUGGAUUGUUGGAGGAUGUUCAGCACCUGUACCAGAGUUGUCAUCUGGACACUCUGAUGGCUUAUCCCUAUGUAGCAUAUGAAGAAGAAACGAUUCAGUUCCUCUCCACACUACAAGUGGAGCUUUACCAAGGUAUGACCUCUGAUGAUUUGGAAUGCGAAGGAUUGGGAUUCUUGAGAUUCUCUGUGUAUGGUCAUGAGUAUAGGUAAUCAAUCAAGCGCUUCGAAGGAUUGUUUGGUUUCCCCAAUGGAACGGGUACUAAGCCCAAGUAUGAUAGAGAAGAGUUGAAAGACUUAUGGAUCACAAUUGGCAGCUCUGUACCGCUGAAUUCUUCUAGGCCAAAGAGCAAUAUGAUACGCAGCCCUGUCAUCAGGUACUUCCAGCGUUCUACAGCCAAUGUCCUCUACUCCCGAGAGAUCACAGGGACUGUUACCAAUUCUGAUAUGGAAAUGAUCGCUAUGGCUCUCAAAGGCACUCUCCGCCAAACUAAGAACAAAAUGUCUCUCCAAGGUGAAAUCAAUGACACACCUCUCUCUGUACUUCUUCUGAUCCACCUGUGUGGAUACAAGAGCUGGGCUGUCAACAAUAACCAUAAGAGAAUACGAGGCGCUCUUUGUAUUGGCGGUGUUGUGACACCGAUUCUGAUCGCUUGUGGAGUCCCAAUCACAUCUGAUGGACUCGAGCCACGGGCAAUGGAUAUCGAGCAUCUACGUCACUGCGAAUUCGUGGAGUUCGCAAUGGUUGGCGACAUGCACCGUUUCAGGUUUGAGCACUCUACGGAUAAGAGAGCUAGCAUCCUUCUCCCCAGCCCAGAGGUUACACGCAUAAUAGAGGGAGAUAACAUUGAUUUUAGGCCUGAGCUUGGAAACCUCUACUAUGAGAACGCUCCGCCAUUGGAUGAGGAUGAUCUUAUAGAAGAAGCUGCUGAGGAUGGGAUGGAUGAAGACAGAGCAGUGGAGUUUGACACUAGCAUGUAUCAUUUUAGUGAACAUGUACCUCCAGCGAGGGAGAGCAAGAGCUUGAGUGAAGCUCAUAGGAACAAUAGCAAGCUGCAGAAGUGGUGCAAGAAGCAGGACAAGCUACUCGCCAAGUGCCUCAAGACUAUCAAGUUUCUGACGGAUACGCUGAGCUGUUCCUCUUACACUACAAAUGUUCCACAGGGACAACCUCCUCUAGAGAUGCCAUCGAGGAGAUUUGAUGAGCCUGAGCCAAGUCAGCACAGGCCUGAGCCUAGUGAGCAGAGAGUCUCACAUGUCCCUGCUAGACAUUCAUCAUUCGAGUCUCGGGAGCACAAGAGAAGAAGGAAGGCUACACUCGUUCGCUCUAGCAGCAGAUCACGCCUUAUUCACUCGAGGAGAUCACUCGACCACGGUGCUGGUCGCAGCAGAAGAAGAGAGGUCGAGUAUCCUCAGAGCGGUGUUGGCCGCCAUAGAGCUGAUGAGGUCGAGUACCCACAUGCUGGAGCUGAUACAGAACAGGGCGGGUCGUCUAUGGCCUGGGAGCAAUCACAGGCAGCCAUUGACGACCAACUCCGUUCAUUCUUUGAGUGAGGUAAGCGCCUCACUUCACCAUUGUAUUAUAUCAUCUCUUGUGAUUUGUUCUUUAUUUUGUUUCUGUGAUUGGAUUUGUCCUAAGUACUCUCUUCCAAGUUUAGUCACACAGUGGAUUGUGUGUUUUAAGUUUGGGGGAGGGCUCAGGAAGUGUGUGUUGCAUUGUUUAUACUCUUGAGUCUGCAUUCAUCAAGGCAUAGGAAAAAAAAAAAAAUUGAAAAAUUC